Long non-coding RNA from Sapajus apella (tufted capuchin), 120 nucleotides. RefSeq lists it as uncharacterized. NCBI's taxonomy places the organism in Eukaryota, Metazoa, Chordata, Mammalia, Primates, Cebidae. The transcript has 3 exons. The record is from RefSeq and is a predicted model, not a curated record.
AUAAAUAUACAUGUAAAUAUACGCAGUAGUAUGAUUGCUAGAUCAAAUAGUAAUUCUAAUUUUAGUUUUCUGAGAAAUCUCCAUACUGUUUUCCAUAGCAGUUAUACUAGUUUCCAUUCC